Molecule: long non-coding RNA, 1134 nt
Filed under: Zea mays
Lineage: Eukaryota; Viridiplantae; Streptophyta; Magnoliopsida; Poales; Poaceae
Description: long non-coding RNA (ZMAY_LNC001027)
Source: RNAcentral
AUCCAUUGUCUUGGCACUCGUUCAGCUUAUCUAACUUCAGGUUCGUCCAUCAGCACCAUCUUAUGGUCAACUCAGUUCUGGUUCUCCGCAUCACGUGGUUAAUUCACGUACCUGAAUGAAAUGCAUUAUGCACAUGAAUGCAUAUAGACAGGAAUAUUGAAAACCUAAAUAGUGCUCGCGAUAGCGAAUUAAACACCUAGCGGCGAGGCGUUUAACAAUUUCAUACGGAGACACUAAUUAUCGACAUACGACUAAGCGCGAUAAUCACACUUCUCUAAAUUAAACGAACCUAACGCAAACAUCACGAAACAACAAACUAUACACAUUUAAUACAAUUAGCCUAAAAUAACUUAUCAGUUAAUUAAUUAAAUUCUAAACUUAGUGGUCUAAAGAAUUUAAAUCUAGAACAAGAAUAAAAGCACAUCACUUUUUAGACCACGCGACUGGAUUAAAUUACAUACCACUCUAAGCUAUCAUAUAUAGCCUACCAUUAAUUUUAUCAAACAAUUAGAAUUCAUCAUAAGUAAUACUAAUAAUAUUAUUGUUUAGACAUUUUAAAAUACUAAAUUUAAACUUCAUUCACUAAUUUACCGUACGUCACAUAAUUAACAUCUCAAACCUACCCAACGUGACUACUCCAAAAUCGUGAAAAUAAUCACAUCGCAUUCAUUGAACUAAUUCAAUAAUUAAGCUAACGGAAAUAUGGAUCAGCUUACCCACGAUUAAAUUUGACGCGCUAUCCGCGAACACAGCAAGGAUUCUGGUUCAGCCCUUGUGUCGAGUACUUGGUGAACAUCACACUGCUAGCUCCGUCUUCAACCGACUCUUGGGAUUUCUUGAUGACACGUGGAAUGACGACGACCUUCGAUUGAAGUCUUCGACCAAGCACUUGAUAAGCGAUGCACACGGACCUCGCUUAUUUUUUCCUAACGUCCGGGAUUCGGGGUUCGACGAGGUUGAGCAGGGAAGAACGGGGUUUGAAAGGCUCGACGACGAUACGGGAGGGUGACGUAUAUAGAGCUGCAGGUCUCGCGAGCUGACGCAAGUGACGGAGACGGCCGCGUAUGGCAGCAGUGCAUCGACAAUCUAUGGGUUUGGGUGUUUUAUCGAAUAGGCGGGAUGUGAGGCACGACG